UAGGGAAUAUUGGGCAAUGGGCGGAAGCCUGACCCAGCCAUGCCGCGUGCAGGAUGAAGGCCUUCUGGGUUGUAAACUGCUUUUACCAGGGAAGAAAACACCCAUGCGUGGGGAACUGACGGUACCUGGGGAAUAAGCACCGGCUAACUCCGUGCCAGCAGCCGCGGUAAUACGGAGGGUGCAAGCGUUGUCCGGAUUUAUUGGGUUUAAAGGGUGCGUAGGCGGCCUUUUAAGUCAGUGGUGAAAGCCCGCGGCUCAACCGCGGAACUGCCAUUGAUACUGGAAGGCUUGAGUACAGACGAGGUAGGCGGAAUUGAAGAUGUAGCGGUGAAAUGCUUAGAUAUCUUCAAGAACACCGAUUGCGUAGGCAGCUUACUAGGCUGUAACUGACGCUGAGGCACGAAAGCGUGGGGAGCGAACAGG
This 423-nucleotide ribosomal RNA is filed under the name uncultured bacterium. Its description in RNAcentral is "bacterial SSU rRNA". It matches the Rfam family "Bacterial small subunit ribosomal RNA", at positions 355 to 776 of the family's 1533-position model. The record is from RNAcentral.